RNAcentral lists this ribosomal RNA (461 nucleotides) under uncultured bacterium. Its description in RNAcentral is "partial 16S ribosomal RNA". It matches the Rfam family "Bacterial small subunit ribosomal RNA", at positions 28 to 506 of the family's 1533-position model. The record is from RNAcentral.
GAUAAACGCUGGCGGCGUGCUUAACACAUGCAAGUCGAACGAAGUUUUUCUUUCGGGAGGAACUUAGUGGCGGACGGGUGAGUAACGCGUGGGUAACCUGCCCUGUACAGGGGGACAACAGCUGGAAACGGCUGCUAAUACCGCAUAAGCCCUUAGCACUGCAUGGUGCAUAGGGAAAAGGAGCAAUCCGGUACAGGAUGGACCCGCGUCUGAUUAGCCAGUUGGCAGGGUAACGGCCUACCAAAGCGAUGAUCAGUAGCCGAUCUGAGAGGAUGUACGGCCACAUUGGGACUGAGACACGGCCCAGACUCCUACGGGAGGCAGCAGUGGGGAAUAUUGCACAAUGGAGGAAACUCUGAUGCAGCGACGCCGCGUGAGUGAAGAAGUAUUUCGGUAUGUAAAGCUCUAUCAGCAGGGAAGAAAAUGACGGUACCUGACUAAGAAGCACCGGCUAAAUACGU